CGUCACCAAACAGUGGCUCCCCUUCCCCACCGGACCCAGCUCCUGCUCUGGCCUGCCUGCUGGUUGAGGAGGUAGAUAAGGAGGCCAGAUCUGCCUAGAGAUCAGAAAGCAAGAUGGAAGAGAGGCAGAAGCACAAGGUCCCAGCAUACAAGACCUCCUACCAGGCCCGGGGCCUGGCCUCCUACACUUCCAGCCAUCAGAGGUCCUGCUGCAAGUGAGAAGCCCAGUCGGACGCAUGGAGCCUCAUGGACAGUGCCUGGCCAGCGGAGGUGCAUCAGGCACACCUGUCUCUUCCCCUUUCCUCUGCCUCACAGGAUGGGAAAGGGUUGUUUCCCUGUUGAGCCCACACCUGCUGAGCUGCUGGUGCCACAUGACGUGAACUCCCUAGUGACAGCUCCCUGGUGGCGGCCCCUGUGGUUGCCAUGGCACCCCCUUGGGGCCAUUCAGCUCCCCCCACCCCACUGCAGCCCUGGCCUGGAGCUCCAUAGGCAAAAAGGCAGAACGUCAAUAGGACGACAUAAUGAGCAGAGGCACUGAAAUCUCAUUUCAGCCAAUAUAGUCCUCAUCGACCCCAACAAGCAUUCGACUUGCUUUUAUCGUCUCUGUCAACCCUAGAGAGCAGAAGUUAAAAUAAAACCUUAAAGGGCAGGACUGGUGGAUGAAGGAUAGACAAAGAACCUUGUCCAUCCAUAAGGCAGGAAAUAAGGCCCUGGCACAGGGCAAGGGCUCAAUAAAUGGCUGUUAAAUUGUUACAUGAAGAAGUGAAUAAAAGCAACUCAACUGUGAUUGAG
Molecule: long non-coding RNA, 791 nt
Filed under: Mustela putorius furo (domestic ferret)
Lineage: Eukaryota; Metazoa; Chordata; Mammalia; Carnivora; Mustelidae
Description: lncRNA (ENSMPUG00000026090.1)
Source: RNAcentral